Molecule: ribosomal RNA, 540 nt
Filed under: Hypsiboas aff. semilineatus AF-2016
Lineage: Eukaryota; Metazoa; Chordata; Amphibia; Anura; Hylidae
Description: partial 16S ribosomal RNA
Rfam family: Bacterial large subunit ribosomal RNA
Source: RNAcentral
CAAAAACAUCGCCUCUUGAAUCUAAUAAGAGGUCCAGCCUGCCCAGUGAAAUUAUUCAACGGCCGCGGUAUCCUAACCGUGCGAAGGUAGCGUAAUCACUUGUUCUUUAAAUGAGGACUAGUAUGAAUGGCACCACGAGGGUUCUACUGUCUCCUUUUUAAAAUCAGUGAAACUAAUCUUCCCGUGAAGAAGCGGGAAUUUUUUUAUAAGACGAGAAGACCCUAUGGAGCUUUAAACAAAUGACAUUUGCUUCAUCCAACACUUUUACCUGCAAUAAACAUAGCAUUAUGGUCCUUAGUUUUCGAUUGGGGUGAUCACGGAGUAAAAUUCAACCUCCGCGCCGAAAGGGUUCAUACCCUAAGCAAAAAGCUACAGCUUUAAGCACUAAAAAAUUAACGUAGUUUGACCCAAUACUUUGAUCAACGAACCAAGUUACCCUAGGGAUAACAGCGCAAUCCACUUCAAGAGCUCCUAUCGACAAGUGGGUUUACGACCUCGAUGUUGGAUCAGGGUAUCCUAGUGGUGCAGCCGCUACUAAUG